Bufo bufo (common toad) is the source of this 157-nucleotide long non-coding RNA. RefSeq lists it as uncharacterized. Lineage: Eukaryota; Metazoa; Chordata; Amphibia; Anura; Bufonidae. The record is from RefSeq and is a predicted model, not a curated record. The transcript has 3 exons.
UUUUUAACAUCAGGUACCCUACUCAACGGCAGACACUCGGCAUCACGACACAUGUUUACAUAUACAUACACCAUAUAUAUGCAACACACAUAAAUACACCAUAUACAUAGUACACAUACAUAAAUACACCAUAUAUACCCCACAAACACAUACCACC